RNAcentral lists this ribosomal RNA (204 nucleotides) under Triticum aestivum (bread wheat). Its description in RNAcentral is "partial small subunit ribosomal RNA". The record is from RNAcentral. Lineage: Eukaryota; Viridiplantae; Streptophyta; Magnoliopsida; Poales; Poaceae.
AUGCCUGCUCCAACGUCUCCAUCCUCUUCGGCUGCCUCGGCAUCGCCUUCAAAUUUGUCGAGAUGGAAUAGGUCGCCAAGGCAAGCGGCCGCUCCUCAGCCCCCCUCUCCUUCCCCGCUACCUGCUCUGCUGUUCGGUAUGCUACUUUGCUGUGCUUGUACUGUAUGUGGUAAAAUUUCUGGUGAUUCCUUCCCGGGAUAUUGA